Molecule: ribosomal RNA, 495 nt
Filed under: uncultured Emiliania
Lineage: Eukaryota; Haptophyta; Isochrysidales; Noelaerhabdaceae
Description: bacterial SSU rRNA
Rfam family: Bacterial small subunit ribosomal RNA
Source: RNAcentral
UUUAGUGGCGAACGGGUGCGUAAUACGUGAGAAUCUGCCCUUAGGAGGAGAAUAACUUCUGGAAACGGUUGCUAAGUCUCCAUAUGCCGAGAGGUGAAAUAGUUUAUACUGCCUAGGGAUGAGCUCACGCCUGUUUAGCUUGUUGGUAAGGUAAUGGCUUACCAAGGCCGCGAUCAGUAGCUGGUUUGAGAGAACGAUCAGCCACACUGGGACUGAGACACGGCCCAGACUCCUCCGGGAGGCAGCAGUGAGGAAUUUUCCGCAAUGGGCGAAAGCCUGACGGAGCAAUACCGCGUGAGGGAUGAAGGAUUUUGGUCUGUAAACCUCUUUUCUCAAGAAAGAAGUUCUGACGGUACUUGAGGAAUAAGCAUCGGCUAACUCCGUGCCAGCAGCCGCGGUAAUACGGGGGAUGCAAGCGUUAUCCGGAAUCAUUGGGCGUAAAGCGCCUGUAGGUUGUUUAAUAAGUCUGUUGUUAAAGACUAGGGCUUAACCCUA